RNAcentral lists this ribosomal RNA (529 nucleotides) under uncultured bacterium. Its description in RNAcentral is "partial 16S ribosomal RNA". It matches the Rfam family "Bacterial small subunit ribosomal RNA", at positions 355 to 900 of the family's 1533-position model. The record is from RNAcentral.
UGGGGAAUAUUGGACAAUGGGGGCAACCCUGAUCCAGCAAUGCCGCGUGUGUGAAGAAGGUUUUCGGAUUGUAAAGCACUUUCGACGGGGACGAUGAUGACGGUACCCGUAGAAGAAGCCCCGGCUAACUUCGUGCCAGCAGCCGCGGUAAUACGAAGGGGGCUAGCGUUGCUCGGAAUGACUGGGCGUAAAGGGCGUGUAGGCGGUUUGUACAGUCAGAUGUGAAAUCCCCGGGCUUAACCUGGGAGCUGCAUUUGAUACGUGCAGACUAGAGUGUGAGAGAGGGUUGUGGAAUUCCCAGUGUAGAGGUGAAAUUCGUAGAUAUUGGGAAGAACACCGGUGGCGAAGGCGGCAACCUGGCUCAUAACUGACGCUGAGGCGCGAAAGCGUGGGGGAGCAAACAGGAUUAGAUACCCUGGUAGUCCACGCUGUAAACGGUGUGUGCUAGAUGUUGGGUAACUUAGUUAUUCAGUGUCGCAGUUAACGCGUUAAGCACACCGCCUGGGGAGUACGGCCGCAAGGUUGAAAC